This 205-nucleotide ribosomal RNA is filed under the name uncultured bacterium. RNAcentral's name for it is "partial 16S ribosomal RNA". It matches the Rfam family "Bacterial small subunit ribosomal RNA", at positions 568 to 774 of the family's 1533-position model. The record is from RNAcentral.
CGCGUAGGCGGCGGGAUAAGUCAGAUGUGAAAGCCCCGGGCUCAACCUGGGAAUUGCAUUUGAUACUGUCUGGCUAGAGUCUGGUAGAGGGGGUGGAAUUCCAGGUGUAGCGGUGAAAUGCGUAGAGAUCUGGAGGAACACCAGUGGCGAAGGCGACCCCCUGGACCAAGACUGACGCUGAGGUGCGAAAGCGUGGGAGCAAACA